GUGCUUGCUUUGGCAACACAUAUACUAAAAUUGGAAUGAUACAAAGAUUAGCAUAGCCCCUGCAUAAGGAUGACACAGAAAUUCAUGAAGUUUUCCACUUUUUU
Molecule: small nuclear RNA, 104 nt
Filed under: Dasypus novemcinctus (nine-banded armadillo)
Lineage: Eukaryota; Metazoa; Chordata; Mammalia; Cingulata; Dasypodidae
Source: RNAcentral